Molecule: ribosomal RNA, 253 nt
Filed under: uncultured bacterium
Lineage: Bacteria
Description: partial 16S ribosomal RNA
Rfam family: Bacterial small subunit ribosomal RNA
Source: RNAcentral
GACAGAGGUGCCGAGCGUUAGGCGGAAUCACUGGGCUUAAAGCGUGUGUAGGCGGAUCUGUAAGUACCUUGUGAAAUCCCACGGCUCAACCGUGGAACUGCUUGGUAUACUGCGGGUCUUGAGCCACCUAGGGGCAAGUGGAACAAACGGUGGAGCGGUGAAAUGCGUAGAUAUCGGUUGGAACGCCAAUGGUGAAAACAACUUGCUGGGGGUGUGCUGACGCUGAGACACGAAAGCCAGGGGAGCAAACGGG